This 427-nucleotide ribosomal RNA is filed under the name uncultured Comamonadaceae bacterium. RNAcentral's name for it is "bacterial SSU rRNA". It matches the Rfam family "Bacterial small subunit ribosomal RNA", at positions 356 to 774 of the family's 1533-position model. The record is from RNAcentral. Lineage: Bacteria; Pseudomonadati; Pseudomonadota; Betaproteobacteria; Burkholderiales; Comamonadaceae.
GGGGAAUUUUGGACAAUGGGCGCAAGCCUGAUCCAGCAAUGCCGCGUGCAGGAUGAAGGCCUUCGGGUUGUAAACUGCUUUUGUACGGAACGAAAAGCCUCUCUCUAAUACAGGGGGGUGAUGACGGUACCGUAAGAAUAAGCACCGGCUAACUACGUGCCAGCAGCCGCGGUAAUGACGUAGGGUGCAAGCGUUAAUCGGAAUUACUGGGCGUAAAGCGUGCGCAGGCGGUUUUGUAAGACAGUGGUGAAAGCCCCGGGGUCAACCUGGGAAAUGCCCAUGGUACGGGAAAGCUGGAGUGGGGCAGAGGGGGAUGGAAUUCCGGGGGUAGCAGGGAAAUGCGGAGAUAUGCGGAGGAACACCGGUGGCGAAGGCAAUCCCCUGGGCCUGCACUGACGCUCAUGCAAGAAAACGUGGGGAGCAAACA